This 119-nucleotide ribosomal RNA is filed under the name Gossypium raimondii (Peruvian cotton). The record is from RNAcentral. Lineage: Eukaryota; Viridiplantae; Streptophyta; Magnoliopsida; Malvales; Malvaceae.
GGGUGCGAUCAUACCAGCACUAAUGCACCGGAUCCCAUCAGAACUCCGCAGUUAAGCGUGCUUGGGCGAGAGUAGUACUAGGAUGGGUGACUUCCUGGGAAGUCCACGUGUUGCACUCC